Molecule: ribosomal RNA, 2073 nt
Filed under: Natantispora retorquens
Lineage: Eukaryota; Fungi; Ascomycota; Sordariomycetes; Microascales; Halosphaeriaceae
Description: SSU rRNA
Rfam family: Eukaryotic small subunit ribosomal RNA
Source: RNAcentral
AGUCAUAUGCUUGUCUCAAAGAUUAAGCCAUGCAUGUCUAAGUAUAAGCAAUUAUACGGCGAAACUGCGAAUGGCUCAUUAUAUAAGUUAUCGUUUAUUUGAUAGCACCUUUUUACUCGGAUAACUGUGGUAAUUCUAGAGCUAAUACGUGCUGAAAAUCCCGACUUCGGAAGGGCUGUAUUUAUUAGAUUCAAAACCAAUGCCCUUCGGGGCUUCAUGGUGAUUCAUAAUAACUGCUCGAAUCGCAUGGCCUUGCGCCGGCGAUGGUUCAUUCAAAUUUCUUCCCUAUCAACUUUCGAUGCGAGGGUCUUGUCCUCGCAUGGUUACAACGGGUAACGGAGGGUUAGGGCUCGACCCCGGAGAAGGAGCCUGAGAAACGGCUACUACAUCCAAGGAAGGCAGCAGGCGCGCAAAUUACCCAAUCCCGACACGGGGAGGUAGUGACAAUAAAUACUGAUACAGGGCUCUUUUGGGUCUUGUAAUCGGAAUGAGUACUAUUUAAAUCCCAUAACGAGGAACAAUUGGAGGGCAAGUCUGGUGCCAGCAGCCGCGGUAAUUCCAGCUCCAAUAGCGUAUAUUAAAGUUGUUGUGGUUAAAAAGCUCGUAGUUGAACCUUGGGCCUGGCCUGUCAGUCCCCCUCACCGGGUGCACUGAUCUGGCCGGGUCUUUCCCUCCGCGGAACCCCAUGGCCUUCACUGGUCGUGGCGGGGAAACGGGACUUUUACUUUGAAAAAAUUAGAGUGCUCCAGGCAGGCCUAUGCUCGAAUACAUUAGCAUGGAAUAAUAAAAUAGGACGCGUGGUUCUAUUUUGUUGGUUUCUAGGACCGCCGUAAUGAUUAAUAGGGACAGUCGGGGGCAUCAGUAUUCAAUUGUCAGAGGUGAAAUUCUUGGAUCUAUUGAAGACUAACUACUGCGAAAGCAUUUGCCAAGGAUGUUUUCAUUGAUAAGGAACGAAAGUUAGGGGAUCGAAGACGAUCAGAUACCGUCGUAGUCUUAACUAUAAACUAUGCCGACUAGGGAUCGGACGAUGUUGUUUUUUGACUCGUUCGGCACCUUUCGAGAAAUCAAAGUGCUUGGGCUCCAGGGGGAGUAUGGUCGCAAGGCUGAAACUUAAAGGAAUUGACGUCGUUGGUCGCAACAAACAGGAUCUGCUCCAGCCGCCCGAAAGGGUCAGUGGUUUGCCGUCGAUAAUGGCUAGUCGUCCACUGCGGACGGCAACACCCUCAAAUUGCGGGGAACUCCUAAAGCCUGUAGCUACCGCGGCCCACCGAAAGGUAAGGGUGCAGCACCAGGGUAAUAACCUCGGGAAUGGUAAAAACGCUAAGGAUGCUACAAUGGACAAUCCGCAGCCAAGCCCCUAAGCGCCGUCUGCGCGUACGGGGAAGGUCCAGAGACUUGACGGGGGUGGGUAGGCCCUACGGGGCCCGCCUAAGAUAAAGUCCAUCCCUUCGCGAAAGCGUUGCGGGCUCGAAAUGGGAACCUGCGGCUUAAUUUGACUCAACACGGGGAAACUCACCAGGUCCAGACACAGUGAGGAUUGACAGAUUGAUAGCUCUUUCUUGAUUCUGUGGGUGGUGGUGCAUGGCCGUUCUUAGUUGGUGGAGUGAUUUGUCUGCUUAAUUGCGAUAACGAACGAGACCUUAACCUGCUAAAUAGCCCAAUCUGCUCCGGCAGUUUGCUGGCUUCUUAGAGGGACUAUCGGCUCAAGCCGAUGGAAGUUUGAGGCAAUAACAGGUCUGUGAUGCCCUUAGAUGUCCUGGGCCGCACGCGCGUUACACUGACAAAGCCAGCGAGUAUUUCCUUGGCCGGAAGGUCCGGGUAAUCUUGUUAAACUUUGUCGUGCUGGGGAUAGAGCAUUGCAAUUAUUGCUCUUCAACGAGGAAUCCCUAGUAAGCGCAAGUCAUCAGCUUGCGUUGAUUACGUCCCUGCCCUUUGUACACACCGCCCGUCGCUACUACCGAUUGAACGGCUCAGUGAGGUUUUCGGACUGGCCCAGGGAGGCGGGCAACUGCCACCCCGGGCCGGAAAGUUGCCCAAACUCGGUCGUUUAGAGGAAGUAAAAGUCGUAACAAG